RNAcentral lists this ribosomal RNA (500 nucleotides) under uncultured bacterium. Its description in RNAcentral is "partial 16S ribosomal RNA". It matches the Rfam family "Bacterial small subunit ribosomal RNA", at positions 30 to 526 of the family's 1533-position model. The record is from RNAcentral.
AUUGAACGCUGGCGGCAGGCCUAACACAUGCAAGUCGAGCGGAUGAGGGGAGCUUGCUCCUGGAUUCAGCGGCGGACGGGUGAGUAAUGCCUAGGAAUCUGCCUGGUAGUGGGGGACAACGUUUCGAAAGGAACGCUAAUACCGCAUACGUCCUACGGGAGAAAGCAGGGGACCUUCGGGCCUUGCGCUAUCAGAUGAGCAUAGGUCGGAUUAGCUAGUUGGUGAGGCAAUGGCUGACCAAGGCGACGGUCCGUAACUGGACUGAGAGGAUGAUCAAGCACACUGGAACGGAGACACGGCCCAGACGCCUGCGGUAGGCGGCAGUGGGGAAUAUUGGACAAUGGGCGAAAGCCUGAUCCAGCCAUGCCGCGUGUGUGAAGAAGGUCUUCGGAUUGUAAAGCACUUUAAGUAGGGAGGAAGGGUUGUAGAUUAAUACUCUGCAAUUUUGACGUUACCGACAGAAUAAGCACCGGCUAACUCGGUGCCAGCCGCCGUAAAAC